UACGGCUAGGACUACCGGGGUAUCUAAUCCGGUUCGUGCCCUAGCUUUCGUCCUCACCGUCGGACCGUUCUAGCAAGACGCCUUCGCCACUGGCGGUCCCUCAAGGAUUACAGGAUUUCACUCCUACCCUUGAGAUACCUCUUGCCUCUCCCGGUCCCAAGACCAGCAGUAUCCAUUGGCAGCCUUACGGGUUAAGCCGUAAGAUUUCCCAAGGGACUAACUGGUCCGGCUACGGACCCUUUAAGCCCAAUAAUAGCGGCCACCACUCGAGCCGCCGGUGUUACCGCGGCGGCUGGCACCGGUCUUGCCCGGCUCUUAUUCCACAUGCUUUUUAGGCGUAUGAAAAGCGUACGCAUUGCGCACGCACUCGAGGUCCCCUUAUCGCGCUUUCGCGCAGUGUAAAGUUUUCGCGCCUGCUGCGCCCCGUAGGACCUGGAUUCGUGUCUCAGAAUCCAUCUCCGGGCUCUUGCUCUCACAACCCGUACCGAUUAUUGGCUUGUUGGGACGUUACCCCAGCAACUACCUAAUCGGCCGCAGACCCAUCCUCAGACGCCAAAGCUUUAAACCGUAAGGCAUUCCAGCGUUCACGGAUUAUCCGGUAUUAUCUCCAGUUUCCCGGAGUUAUCCCAGAUCUGAGGGUAGGUUGUCCACGUGUUACUGAGCCGUAAGGGCGAAUUCCAGCACACUGGCGGCCGUUACUAGUGGAUCCGAGCUCGGAACCAAGCUUGGC
Molecule: ribosomal RNA, 730 nt
Filed under: uncultured archaeon
Lineage: Archaea
Description: partial 16S ribosomal RNA
Source: RNAcentral